GACAGAGGGUGCAAACGUUGUUCGGAAUUACUGGGCGUAAAGCGCGUGUAGGCUGUUCGGAAAGUCGGAUGUGAAAGCCCUGGGCUUAACCCAGGAAGUGCAUUCGAAACUCCCGAACUCGAGUCCUGGAGAGGAAGGCGGAAUUCUCGGUGUAGAGGUGAAAUUCGUAGAUAUCUGGAGGAACACCGGUGGCGAAGGCGGCGUUCUGGACUGCAACUGACACUGAGGAACGAAAGCCAGGGGAGCAAACGGG
Molecule: ribosomal RNA, 253 nt
Filed under: uncultured bacterium
Lineage: Bacteria
Description: partial 16S ribosomal RNA
Rfam family: Bacterial small subunit ribosomal RNA
Source: RNAcentral